AAAUCCCAUUCAUCAUUGUCGUCUCCACAUUUUCUGAAUCCAAAUGUUAUCGAGACUCCUCCCUUAUAAUCGUCGCAGUCCGACCAAAGUCGGCGUCGUCGCUCCAUCUCCACACCAUACUCCCCCGUCCUUGCCCCUAUUCGCCGGCGGCGUCGCCGCAAUCCUGCCCCAAGUUGAGCCGCCGCCCCUUCCUCCUAUCGUUUCUCUGAAAAACAUGGACCAGUCGCCUCCACCAACUCUCACCACCACCACCGCCUUCGCCGUGCCGGCCACCAUCUACACAUGCCACCUCUUUGUCCCUCCACCGUGAUUCCCCCGCCAGCCCUCCGAUCUGCCACCUCCCCGCCACCGCCGCCUUCGUCGCGCCGGCCACCGCCUUACCUCCUGCUGCAAUCUGCCACCUCCAUCAAAUUCCCUCAAUUUCGCUUAUCCAACGAGACUUUCCCCUCACCCCCGCCACGAUUCAUUCUGAUGUUUGGUGUCUCCAGCCACUGCCGCCCCUUCCUCCCAUCAUUUCUUCCACCGCGUUUCGCAGCACUCCGGCUCCAAGUCGGCGCCGCCUCAACCACCAUUGCUCUAACAUGCACCCAAAUCGAAUAUUUUUUGCUUACUUCCAUCUACAAUUGUAAGUUGUUGAAGCUUCAAGCAAUGAAGAGAUUUGGAGCUGGAGGACGCUCUGAUCCUUAUAUUUACAUGGCUGCUGGAAUCUUACGAGUGUGAUCCACUUUUGGAUCUUUACAGUUGGAUCAUGUUUGCAUGAAAUCAUGAAUAAUGUGAUUGAAAAACUAUGGGAAAGAGUAAGAGAAAUAUUUGGCUAUCAAAGUCCCAUAUGAAAUUUUGCUAAUCCACGAGUUCUAUUCUUGAUGAAACUGUGAUAAGUUCGUAAAUGGAGAAUAAUUCCCUGACAGUACCCAACAUAUUAACCGCAACAGGCUUGAAGUUCGAAUCAUUAUUAGUUAUAGAACUUUUUUUUGUAGCGUGUAACCUGUCGAAUUCUAAAUCUUUUUUUUUCGUACAAUUUAUUGAGAUUUUGAUUAUUUUUUUAAAAAAAUUUAUUUCUCAUACUUGUGAUGUGGGGUGAUAAUUAGCCAAUGG
Molecule: RNA transcript, 1095 nt
Organism: Salvia miltiorrhiza (redroot sage)
Lineage: Eukaryota; Viridiplantae; Streptophyta; Magnoliopsida; Lamiales; Lamiaceae
Gene name: ENHANCER OF AG-4 protein 2-like
Exons: 5
Source: RefSeq, a predicted model, not a curated record